UACGGGGGGGGCAAGCGUUGCUCGGAAUUACUGGGCGUAAAGGGCGUGUAGGUGGUUUCGUAAGUCUGGCGUGAAAUUUUUCGGCUUAACCGGGAAAGGUCGUCGGAUACUGCGGAGCUAGAGGACGGUAGAGGCGUGUGGAAUUCCGGGUGUAGUGGUGAAAUGCGUAGAGAUCCGGAGGAACACCAGUGGCGAAGGCGACACGCUGGGCCGUACCUGACACUGAUGCGCGACAGCAUGGGGAGCAAACAGG
Molecule: ribosomal RNA, 253 nt
Filed under: uncultured bacterium
Lineage: Bacteria
Description: partial 16S ribosomal RNA
Rfam family: Bacterial small subunit ribosomal RNA
Source: RNAcentral